GCCUACGGGGGCAGCAGUGAGGAAUAUUGGUCAAUGAGCGCGAGCCUGAACCAGCCAAGUCGCGUGAGGGAAGACGGUCCUAUGGAUUGUAAACCUCUUUUGUCGGGGAGCAAAAGACGCCACGUGUGGCGUUCCGAGAGUACCCGAAGAAAAAGCAUCGGCUAACUCCGUGCCAGCAGCCGCGGUAAUACGGAGGAUGCGAGCGUUAUCCGGAUUUAUUGGGUUUAAAGGGUGCGCAGGCGGAAGAUCAAGUCAGCGGUAAAAUUGAGAGGCUCAACCUCUUCGAGCCGUUGAAACUGGUUUUU
Molecule: ribosomal RNA, 305 nt
Filed under: uncultured bacterium
Lineage: Bacteria
Description: bacterial SSU rRNA
Rfam family: Bacterial small subunit ribosomal RNA
Source: RNAcentral